Zea mays is the source of this 1084-nucleotide long non-coding RNA. RefSeq annotates it as MIR168aHG. Lineage: Eukaryota; Viridiplantae; Streptophyta; Magnoliopsida; Poales; Poaceae. The record is from RefSeq and is marked validated. The transcript has 2 exons.
CAGGUUCGCGCGGAGGGAAGGAGGGAGAAGAAGCGAAGCCGCGCCGCCUCGGGCUCGCUUGGUGCAGAUCGGGACCCGCCGCCCGGCCGACGGGACGGAUCCCGCCUUGCACCAAGUGAAUCGGAGCCGGCGGAGCGAUACAGCGGCCGGCCGACCGCCGCCUGCUUGCCUGCGCGCGCUGCUCUCGACUGCGGAUGCCGCCCUCGCGGUUAUAUUCCGCUAAAGCCACGACUGCCGCCGAGGAGAACAUGUUCUGAAAAGCUGUCGAGGAAUAUAAAUUGCGUACCUGGGGUCCUGGUCCUGGAUUGAUGGCUUGAUGAAUGGAUGAGCAGAAGCAGAGCGAGGUGGGAGAUUCCAGCUCUGGGUUUUGCUGACAGAGGUCCAGCUAGCUUGAUGAGAACCUCACAGGCUGCUAUGGCUUCACACUGCUGAAUUUUACUCGGAUUCGAGUCUGUGCUCCUCCUUUUGUUUUUCACAGUAUGCAUGAGCUGUUGUUAUCAAACAAGCAUGGGAUCUGGCGUGGCGGGCGGAUGGAUGCCGGUCAGCUGAUCGAGCUGGUGUCAGUCCUUUGGCCAGCCUGCAUCCAGUGCGUCAAAAGCCUGGCCGCUGGCCGGCCGGCGGCUGCUGCUGCUCGUGCCUCGUGCUCAUCAGGCAGGCAGCCAUGGUCCCCUGCCUCUCAGGCAAAGGCUGGUCGCGGAUAGGCAAAUAUCCCCCAGAUUCUUGUACCUGAUGCACGUGGAGCUGGGUGGCAUGGCAUCGCAGAGCCGACUCCACCUCCAUGGGGUUGCUGCUUGCUUGCUUGCUUCUUCCCACAGCGUUCUUGAAUACUGGGAAGCACGAUAGGACGCUGGUGCUCUGGACUCGCAGAGGCGCAUUUGCUAUCCACGGCCACAGAGCCAGCCCCAGGGGGGGCACACAGACUGGGCAUGAAGAAGAGGAUAACAACAGAUAACUGACCAGCAUUCAUCUCACAUUUGUUACCCCGUGACUCUUUAUCCUAAAAUGUAAGACCUUUAUUAAAGUCCAUUGUAAAAAGGACAGCAGUUUAAAUAAAUGCCCCAUGCUUGACAGGUCGAUGCACCGA